This 105-nucleotide microRNA precursor is filed under the name Sorghum bicolor (sorghum). RNAcentral describes it as "MIR5565 microRNA precursor family". It matches the Rfam family "MIR5565 microRNA precursor family". The record is from Rfam by way of RNAcentral. Lineage: Eukaryota; Viridiplantae; Streptophyta; Magnoliopsida; Poales; Poaceae.
GUAGUCGGAUUUACAUCAAUCCACAUGUGUUGAGGUGGGUUGGAGUAAAAUUUGAACUAAAUUCCAUCCCAAUCCACACCAACACACAUUGAAGUAAAUACGAUA